RNAcentral lists this transfer RNA (71 nucleotides) under Calotes versicolor. RNAcentral describes it as "tRNA-Leu specifying CUN codons". The record is from RNAcentral. Lineage: Eukaryota; Metazoa; Chordata; Lepidosauria; Squamata; Agamidae.
CCUUUUAAAGGGUUACAGAGACCCGUCGUCCUUAGAAGACGACAUUCUUGGUGCAAUUCCAAGUAAAAGUA